AGAAUUUGAAUGCAGUUGUUGGGGGAGUUGAGGAGAAAUCAGUGGAAUAAUUCAAGGAGGGAUAAGGGGAGAGAUUUUAGGAGAAAAUCAAGGGAAGUGAGGGGAGAGGAGAAGUGUGCCGAAAGUGGACUUUAAUACUUAGGAAAUUCGACCAGAGGGGAUACUGCUCAUUUUGGUAUACUUUACAUUUCGGUUUUGUGUAAUGUUUCUCUCUUUUUGCUUUUUGGUGCCGAAUUUUUGCUAAGAUUUCGAGUACCUCUUAGGUUUUUCUUUUACUGCUCUUUCUUUUUAUCCUUUUUUUUGUUUUGGUCAAAUAGCUUUUUAGUUCCCUCCUCUGCCAAAUUCUCUUCUCUUUUCCCUCUUCUCUUUGUUGCUUCUUUCGUCUGAAUUGAUCUUCUUCCUCUACUCCUUUUGAUCAACUGUUUGUCGAAUAUUGCCUUCUCUCCCUUUUUAUCUUUUCAAAUUUUUUUCGGCUUGACAACAAUUCUC
RNAcentral lists this long non-coding RNA (489 nucleotides) under Gossypium raimondii (Peruvian cotton). Its description in RNAcentral is "long non-coding RNA (GRAI_LNC000561)". Lineage: Eukaryota; Viridiplantae; Streptophyta; Magnoliopsida; Malvales; Malvaceae. The record is from RNAcentral.